Molecule: ribosomal RNA, 473 nt
Filed under: uncultured bacterium
Lineage: Bacteria
Description: bacterial SSU rRNA
Rfam family: Bacterial small subunit ribosomal RNA
Source: RNAcentral
ACUCCUACGGGAGGCAGCAGUGGGGAAUAUUGCACAAUGGGGGAAACCCUGAUGCAGCCAUGCCGCGUGUGUGAAGAAGGCCUUCGGGUUGUAAAGCACUUUCAGUAGGGAGGAAGGUAGUGUAGUUAACACCUGCAUUAUUUGACGUUACCUACAGAAGAAGCACCGGCUAACUCCGUGCCAGCAGCCGCGGUAAUACGGAGGGUGCGAGCGUUAAUCGGAAUUACUGGGCGUAAAGCGCAUGCAGGCGGCCUGUUAAGUCAGAUGUGAAAGCCCGGGGCUUAACCUCGGAAUUGCAUUUGAAACUGGCAGGCUAGAGUCUUGUAGAGGGGGGUAGAAUUUCAGGUGUAGCGGUGAAAUGCGUAGAGAUCUGAAGGAAUACCAGUGGCGAAGGCGGCCCCCUGGACAAAGACUGACGCUCAGAUGCGAAAGGCUGGGGAGCAAACAGGAUUAGAUACCCUGGUAGGAUAGCG